GACCUGGCGCACACGUAGAAGUAAAUACCCUCUCUGUCUGUUGGGGGCCCGCCUACCAACCUAUUUCUUUCCCGCCGCCCAGCGACCCACCCAGCACCCGGGCCGGCCCUCGCCGGGGUCCCGGAUGGCCGGGGCGCCCUGCCCCUGCUCCAGCGGCUGCCCCCAUGGCCUGACCCUGUGCCAUCCGUCCUCCCACUUGCCCAUGUAGCUAUGUAGUAUGUCCUAACCCCAGCGUCACAUCCUGGAGACUGACCCGCAGCCCCCGCCCCGAGGCCCGCCUGGCCGCCCGACCGGCGCCCCGCGCCUGGCGCCCCCGCGCCGCGGCAUGCCCUGACGCCGGGAGAGGCCCACUGGCCGCGCCCCCGCCGCGAGACCACGCGGGCACGGGGGCCGGGGCGCCCCGGGCGGGCCCUCACCCCUCUGAUGGGAGGCAGCCCCCGACGUAGUACCCUGUCCGCGUAAUAUUGUAAAUUACUCUGUCUG
Molecule: ribosomal RNA, 483 nt
Filed under: Giardia duodenalis
Lineage: Eukaryota; Fornicata; Diplomonadida; Hexamitidae
Description: Giardia intestinalis partial small subunit ribosomal RNA
Source: RNAcentral